UACGAAGGGUGCAAGCGUUACUCGGAAUUACUGGGCGUAAAGCGUGCGUAGGUGGUUUGUUAAGUCUGAUGUGAAAGCCCUGGGCUCAACCUGGGAAUUGCAUUGGAUACUGGCAGGCUAGAGUGCGGUAGAGGGUAGUGGAAUUCCCGGUGUAGCAGUGAAAUGCGUAGAGAUCGGGAGGAACACCAGUGGCGAAGGCGACUACCUGGACCAGCACUGACACUGAGGCACGAAGGCCAGGGGAGCAAACGGG
This 253-nucleotide ribosomal RNA is filed under the name uncultured bacterium. Its description in RNAcentral is "partial 16S ribosomal RNA". It matches the Rfam family "Bacterial small subunit ribosomal RNA", at positions 524 to 776 of the family's 1533-position model. The record is from RNAcentral.